Long non-coding RNA from Triticum urartu, 3873 nucleotides. RefSeq lists it as uncharacterized. The record is from RefSeq and is a predicted model, not a curated record. NCBI's taxonomy places the organism in Eukaryota, Viridiplantae, Streptophyta, Magnoliopsida, Poales, Poaceae.
ACCAAACCAAUCCUAUGCCUCCUCCCCUGCUCUCGCCAUCACCCACAGAACCCCACCCAAUUCCUCACUCGCUCGCCGAGAUGAAAGCGGCCGCGGCGGCCGGGGGCGGACACGCGGGGGAGAAGUAGUUUGGGUCCAUGCCGCCGCCCUUUGCCUCCCCCCCACCACCGUCCACGCUGCCGCCCUUGGCCGCCGCCACCACCGCCGUCCGGGCCGCCGCCCUUUGCCGCCUCCACCACCGCCGCCCUUUGCCGCCGCCACCACCGCCCUCCCCGCGCCGCCCUUUACCUCCGCCCCCACCGCUGUCCAAGCCACUCUUGGCCGUCACCGAGGAUCCCGGCUGCGUAGUGAAUCCAUCGCAAAGGAUCUCGAGGCCUGCCGCCCCGCUUGGCGCACCCAUUGGAUGCCUUGCCGCCUCUCCUCCUCUGUGCUUCACUGGAGAAUCCUUUUUGAUCGUGGCCUUGCCCUAGAUGCUAGAAUCUACGAUUCCUCACCUAUAGUAUGGAUUAUGGAAGUGCAUCUGCACCUAGGGCUCUAGCUGCUGAUGGCCAGAGAUAACAGCGAUGUGUACGAGUCACACGACAACUCCUGGCAAGCCUUUCGUGGAAACAUCGAGUACUGUUUAAGAUUUUUUGUCCACGGGAAACUAAUUAAUGUAUUUGGUGGAUGUACAGGGCUACGUAGUGGUUGCAGUCUUGUAUUAGCAAGUGAACGAUUUAGUGUUCAUUGGCAACAAAAGGAAGUGAAUAAUAUCAUGCCAUAAUUUAGUGUUGCUUCCUGGUCCUUGGUAGAUGAUGCAUUCUUCUUCUGCAUGGAAAUCUGCAAAUUGAUUAUCUGCAUACUAUUUGUCCGUACUUCUCCAAGAUCUGAGCAUACCAUCUUAGGAACUUCCGAAACUUCCUGGUGUGACAUAAGUUCAGGAGUGUAAUUUAUCAUUGUAAAAGUGCGUACUAAACCUUAAUAACAAGGGAUUCUGUUAUUUCUUUCUCAAUUUACUUGCAUCUUCAGAAAUCUGGUGUAUAGAGCAGCAAUGUUCAGUUUGCGUGGUCAUAUUAUUCUGAAUUUCAAGGAACAAAAAUGAUGUAUAUUUGAAGACGUACAUGUUGAGGAACAAAAUAAUGUGAUUUCGAGGAACAACAUUAAAUAGGCAGGAGGACAAUGGAUAUUUUUGGGUCAGUAUUUUCCAAUUAGAUACAUAUUUCAACUUGCAAUUAGGAGGUUCUGAACCUCCCUUUUCUUGAUGGAGAGCAUGCAAUGAAGAAACCACCACCACUGGUUUGUCACAACCAUAGUAAGUGCAUGGUUGUUUGGGUGAUAGCCUUAUAACUGUCACAGUUAAUUGAUGGUCUACAUCCAUGGUAUGGCUGCAUAACUUUUAUGUUUUCUCUCAUAUUAGUCAUUCACCAUGUUCCUCUUACCAGCGCCUUGACUGGAACGAAGGUGCUUACCAUCGCUGAACAUUUAUUUAGCAAUCUAUUGCCGCUCGAUAUCCGCAUGUUCCUUCCACCAUGGAGCAUGAUUUGCAAAGAAUGGUGGAGUUGCUUGGUUGUUUCUAUGAAUUGGUGGAGGAUGUAGAGGCUCAUCUGCAUUCCGUGUCCAGGUCCAUACCUUGCAUCAAAUUCCAGCCUUUACAGCCACUCGAAGCGCUUUUCACUGUACAAACAGCAUGCGGAGAAGCUAAUGGAGUCUUGUUCAGGUUAUCACUGCUUUUGCUCCAGCAAGGUAUCUUUCUCCCUCUUUACUAACCUUUACGUUUGCCUGAUUGGUGAAACAUGAGUCACGUGAUUCCAGUUGCGCAUGCAUAUAACAUAGACUAUUUUGUAGGCUCGUAUUAACAUGGGAACUGAGUAAACUUCUCCAAAUGUAUUCUUUUGGUUCCUUUGAGUAAAAUGCUUGGUAUUUUGUAUUUUGUGUUCAUAUUAACACUUCUGCAAGUCAUCACAUGCCUUUUAAUAUUUUAGAAAGUACAACGAGUCUUGCGAAGGGUCCUCGAGGAAGCUCAAUAGAUGACUAUUCUCAGUGGAGAUGAUACCCAAGAUGUUAUUCUGAAAAUAUAUGCCAUGAGAGAAAGAUAUACUUGAAACCCGCGGAGGUCAAUGAUGCGUGAGAUUACAUCAAACUAUCACGGUUUAACCUAAAUGCUGCAGGUUUGAAUGGCUUUCGCUCAGACUUACUUUCUUUAUUAUGCAUUUAUCCUUUUUAGAUGUUAAACUCUGAUGAUCACACUACUUUAUUAUCCUAUUCCGGGAUCCAUCAAGGAAGCCAUUAUGAAAUUAAGGGAGAACAACUUAAUGUCCUUUCAUGUUCGAUUUACGGAUUAACAGACUUUUACCUGUAGAAUUCGGGGUGACUUUUCACCUAAUGUUCUUGAAAAUUUUAAAUAGUGAAAUGGUUGUUUUGAUGCGGCGGUAAACUUUUUCCUGAAGAGAUUGAGAUUGCCAGGAUUCAGAUUGGAUCCCUGCUGUGUCAGCGUAGGAGAACUGCUCGAACACGUAGGCACGACGUGACCGACACUUUAUAUUUACUAAAAGAUAAACUUCUGAUAGUAAAAUGCUUUUUUUUCUUGAGAAAAAUUGUAAUGGCCAUAUAUUUCCUUUAUGUUCCAUUGUUAUGUAUCUGUUUUUGAUAAUCUUAAUUGUUACUUUUCAUUGUUUAUCUCUAGAUAUGCAAAGAAGUUGGAUUUGCCACAAGUUUAUUUGAGAGAAUGGUUAUGCUCAAAUUUAAUAUACAUUUGCUGAACAUACAUUAUCACAUGAAUCCUUCUUCAUGUUAUUUCCAAAUGUCUAGUUUUAUGAGAGGAAGAUUAGCAGGGCGGCCAAGUUCAAGGUGCACUUCCACGCCGGCGGGUCGAGCUUGACGGCAAUCCGACGCAGGCGGCGUCCACCAACAGCUGCUCCUCCAAGGACGAGGUGGGCCACACGCAAGAGACCUGCAUACAGAUUUGCUGUUUCAUGUUAUUUAUUUGCUUAUUUCCUGUUUGGUCUUAAUUCCUGUUUUUUGUUUGUAAUAGUUGUUCAUGGGAUGAAAUUUCUAAAUCACCUUGGUUUGUUUGCAUACCCAAAUUGUAAUAAUUAAAUUUUAUUACUUUGUGGAUAGAAAUGUAUUUGUCCACAUUCUGCUCUUGAACCACAGAAUUUCUUUACAUGUACAUAUAUAUAGAAAUUUGCAUGAAGAAUUGGUGCUGUAGGUGUCAUGGGCAGGGGCAUAAUUUCGCGAAAUGCAAUGUGGAGUUGUCUAUCGAUCCCUCUUGGACUAGACCCAUGUAGUUAUUUUUCAUUUUGCUUCGAUCAUAUGGCAUAUGUCUUGCAUGCUAUGUAACAAUUAGUCACAAGAGGGUAUUAUCAUCAUUUAAUGUAGAAUCAUGCUAUUUGAGUGGCAUAAAUAAAUAAAAAUAUAUAGCUUUUUAAGCACAUUAAUUAUCUUUUAUAUGUUGCAAUGUAGCCCGUUAGAUAUUUUUCUAGCGCAUAUAAUGUUUUCUUUUUCUCGAUGCAACACACGGGCCUUUUGCUAGUAACGACAAAUAUGAAUAAGUCCCAAGCACUUUGCAAGCAAGAGCACUUGGCACUUGGGGGCUAAUGCAUAUUGCUCGCGUUUUCAUUACUACUUUAUGAUGACCCGGUUGUGCUGCAAACGACCACAGCCGACUCAUGGGGGCUACACAAGUAAGUUUUGAUUUAUAAACAAUGACGAACAGUACCGGUUCAUUCUUGCUGAUUAAACCGGCCCUUGGGGGCUACGGAUGCAAUGUCAAUCGUUAAAGAUCCGGUUUAACUCCGAUGGUGAAAGCCAGAUUUUGAAGGAUUCUACCAAAUACUCAUAGCUAUUCUAUGUCUAUAGCAUAUUAUAUUCUAUUAUACACAGUAGACUUGGGGG